This 174-nucleotide ribosomal RNA is filed under the name Bacillus subtilis. RNAcentral describes it as "Small Subunit Ribosomal RNA; ssuRNA; SSU rRNA". It matches the Rfam family "Bacterial small subunit ribosomal RNA", at positions 1 to 169 of the family's 1533-position model. The record is from RNAcentral. Lineage: Bacteria; Bacillati; Bacillota; Bacilli; Caryophanales; Bacillaceae.
CUUUAUCGGAGAGUUUGAUCCUGGCUCAGGACGAACGCUGGCGGCGUGCCUAAUACAUGCAAGUCGAGCGGACAGAUGGGAGCUUGCUCCCUGAUGUUAGCGGCGGACGGGUGAGUAACACGUGGGUAACCUGCCUGUAAGACUGGGAUAACUCCGGGAAACCGGGGCUAAUAC